Molecule: long non-coding RNA, 903 nt
Organism: Neofelis nebulosa (Clouded leopard)
Lineage: Eukaryota; Metazoa; Chordata; Mammalia; Carnivora; Felidae
Exons: 3
Source: RefSeq, a predicted model, not a curated record
CCCGUCCUGCCCAGUCUCCCACCAAUCCCCACUCAAGAAGGCACGCCUGCGCAUUAGCUGUACGACGCCCCAAUCGUCCUUUGUCGAAGCCCAGGGAUCCACCUUUUGCCAUAACAAAAGGACGUUGGCAUCCAAUCAGGAUUGAGGCUGAUGUGGGCGGGUCCAGGAAAAGCAACACCCAAUGGCAGUACAGAGGCGAAGUUAGGCGUGAGAAAGCCAGUCCCAGGAAAGCAGCCCUUCAGUCUCAGCAGGAGCCUGAAAAUUGGGGUCAGAAAUCCAGUGUGGAAAAUUCUGACAGCUGUCAGGAAGGAGGUUAUUGAAUUCAUUGGAGAGUGAGUGAUGUCCUAAAUUUGAUGGAGAGAAUCGCUGAAAGUUGGAGUGAGAUGGGCAUUCCAAGUGGGUUGACCUUGCCUGAUACAUCUGCAGUAUAUGUCUGAGACUGCCACCCUCAGCAUUGCUUGGUGCUUUGGAAGCCAUGGAAGCCACACCUGCCAGUGUGGGUUUUAGACUCUGGUUAUAAGUGCCUGUUUUUUUUUUUUUUAAGUAUUUGUGAUCCUAAAGGGUCUUCUUUGACUUCUUCCCAACUUGAUGAAAAGGUUAGAAAAUUAUGACUGAAUAGGGGAAAGCUAAGUUAGAAGCUAGUUCCCAGGGACCCUCACCCUAACUUUUCUGCUGCAUGGUUAGUUUCUCCUUCCUUUCUGAAGAGAGUGCCCAGAGGCUGUCUGUGCUUUGCUCUCCUCUUGGGAGUUGUCCCCAUCAAUCCCAUAGGAGGGGUUGUUCACCCAUCAUGGCAGCCAUGGAGGCACAUGACUCAGUUCUCCUUUGAAGAGAACUUGCUGGGCUGUUGGGGUGAAGGGACUAGCUGACUGACAGCUUCUAGCUCCUGCACCUUUGGAUCCACUG